RNAcentral lists this small nucleolar RNA (73 nucleotides) under Leptobrachium leishanense (Leishan spiny toad). RNAcentral describes it as "Small nucleolar RNA SNORD24 (ENSLLEG00000030062.1)". It matches the Rfam family "Small nucleolar RNA SNORD24". From Rfam's summary of the family: U24 is a member of the C/D class of snoRNA which contain the C (UGAUGA) and D (CUGA) box motifs. C/D box snoRNAs have been shown to act as methylation guides for a number of RNA targets. Lineage: Eukaryota; Metazoa; Chordata; Amphibia; Anura; Megophryidae. The record is from Rfam by way of RNAcentral.
UGCAAAUGAUGUCAGUCAAUAUUUGCUAUCUGACCAUGGUGAUGACACACUUUCCACCAAGAUCUCUGAUGCA